This 254-nucleotide ribosomal RNA is filed under the name uncultured bacterium. RNAcentral describes it as "partial 16S ribosomal RNA". It matches the Rfam family "Bacterial small subunit ribosomal RNA", at positions 524 to 776 of the family's 1533-position model. The record is from RNAcentral.
UACAGAGGUGCCGAGCGUUAGGCGGAAUCACUGGGCUUAAAGCGUGUGUAGGCGGACUUCUAAGUACCUUGUGAAAUCCCACGGCUUACCCGUGGAACUGCUGGGUAUACUGGUCGUCUUGAGCCACCUAGGGGCCAGCGGAACAAAUGGUGGAGCGGUGAAAUGCGUAGAUAUCAUUUGGAACGCCAACGGUGAAAACAGCUGGCUGGGGGGUGUGCUGACGCUGAGACACGAAAGCCAGGGGAGCGAACGGG